Ceratotherium simum simum (southern white rhinoceros) is the source of this 97-nucleotide non-coding RNA. The record is from RefSeq and is a predicted model, not a curated record. NCBI's taxonomy places the organism in Eukaryota, Metazoa, Chordata, Mammalia, Perissodactyla, Rhinocerotidae.
CAGGCAGUGGUGCCCCCUGGCUCUGAGCCUCUGACGGGCUUCCCUGGUGGACAGCACGCCACACGUGUUGUCACAACGUGCUGCAGGGGGAAUUGAG